AUACGUAGGUGGCGAGCGUUGUCCGGAAUUAUUGGGCGAAAAGAGCAUGUAGGCGGUUUUUUAAGUCCGGAGUGAAAAUGCGUGGAUCAACCCCGUAUGGCUCUGGAUACUGGAAGACUUGAGUGCAGGAGAGGAAAGGUGAAUUCCCAGUGUAGCGGGUAAAUGCGUAGAUAUUGGGAGGAACACCAGUGGCGAAGGGGCCUUUCUGGACGGUGUCUGACGCUGAGAUGCGAAAGCCAGGGUAGCGAACGGGAUUAGAUACCCCGGUAGUCCUGGCCGUAAACGAUGGGUACUAGGUGUAGGAGGUAUCGACCCCUUCUGUGCCGGAGUUAACGCAAUAAGUACCCCGCCUGGGGAGUACGUCCGCAAGGAUGAAACUCAAAGGAAUUGACGGGG
RNAcentral lists this ribosomal RNA (396 nucleotides) under uncultured bacterium. Its description in RNAcentral is "partial 16S ribosomal RNA". It matches the Rfam family "Bacterial small subunit ribosomal RNA", at positions 523 to 918 of the family's 1533-position model. The record is from RNAcentral.